CACACACACACACACACCCACACCCACCCACACACACACACACACACUCACUCACUCACGCCGCUCCCCGCCAGCAGCCGCCUCCCUUGAAAGGCGAUCUCCCGCUGUUUCUCCCUCGCCGCUCUUUCCUCGGCUCUGGGAUUCCCAACCUCCUGUAAACUGCACCUGGCCACCCUGAACGCAGCGGACCUUCUAACAGUCAAGUGGGUGCGGGAUGGCACGGGAGAGGGGCGUGAGACGAGGGGGAAAUGCCAGCCAGGCCAAGCGGGGCACAUCACCACCCAGUUCCAUGCCACUCCACCCGGCGUUCAAGCUCCCACCCCGGAGCUUGAAUCAAGUCAUGUUUUUAGUGCGUUCACAUGGGCCAAGGGCCUGCUGGGAUCCUAAAAUGGAAGGGAAAGUUUGCAGAGACUUUAAAGCUUUCCCGAGGAGCUCCUGCCUAAGGCGUCGGUGUGCAGCCCAAGCCCCCUUGCUGCGGGCCCCGACCCUGGCACUCACGACCCGCCUGGCGGUCGCUGCCCGGGUCCCAAGUGCCCUCCGAGCCCCAAGCUCUCGGAGCCGCGCUCCCAGAGUCGCGCAGGGGCUCGGGAACAGAAUCCAUCAAGAAGCCUCUAGUCCACCACAAAGCACACCCGAGCAGUUCCAAGGGAAGGGGGCCCAGAGCGCCCCAGGAGAUAUCUUUCCACAACCUUCUGCGGAGACCCGGGGUCGCCUCGUCUCCAGGGACGAAGCCAGCAGUCCCCUUACACUUGACUUUCUUGUUGCGGUGGGGAGGAUAUAGGAAGCUACUGGAGGUGCCGGAGCCGCCCCCCCCCCCCAACCCCCAAAGUGCCCUGGGCUCUGAGCAAAGACCCGUCCUCACAAGCACGCGGUCCAGGCCAGGACCCUGUGCACGGUAGGACGCAGGGGGCCACGGCGUUCUAAUCUGGACUCCUGGCCGCUUCCGCGGCGGCCCGCUGGAGUUUCUCCCACGGAGGUCGGCCCAGCAGCGGGCCACCGGCGUCUCGCCUCCCGCCCUGACAUGCAGACUUGGGGGGGCGCUGCACACAGCAACCGAUCCGGAGCGCAAAAUCUGCGUGCCGCGUGGGAGACGCGCGCGGGAGGGGCCGGGUUGGGCUCGCGUUUUUCCUUUUCAGAAGCUUUCGAGUUGACUGCGAAGUUUUCUGGAAACAGCAAGCCGUCUGAGAAGACGGAAUUUCCAACGUGUAAAAUGUUCUUAACGGAACCAUUGAGCGAGUGCAAUAAGGCGUGAGGGGGAACUAAUCUUCCCAUUUAAAUGUUUGUGGCAAUUUUAUCUAAAUGAAUUUUAAUGCUAAACGAGGGUAAUUCCCCAUUUGUAGCGCGUUUACUUCUCUUUCCUGUGCUUCUAAAGCAGUCGAACAUCAUGCAAUGAACAAUAACAAUAAAAAUACUGUCAAGGCAUAUUAUUCAUUUCGAAUGUGUUAUAAUUACAGCUGAUUAAAUAUGAUAGGGUAAAAUAUUUUUAGUUUUCUUUAAAAAAAUAUUUAAAUCAUACUAAAAAGUCUCAUUCAACCAGCACCCCCCCCCCCAAUAAAAAUAAAAAGCAGGUACAAUUGUGUGCCCUUGUUUAGAAGAGGGCGUUUUGUUUUUGCCUUUUAAGAAACAUCAAAAACACCCUCAGCACCUCUAUUCUUUCUUUCUUUCAGAUAAGUGUCCUCCAUAACCUCCGAGCUGGCUCUGAAAUUUACAAGAGGAAAGCUAACAUCGCAUUAAGGGGGAGUGGGGGUGUCCAGGCAAGGGGAGAAAAAGGAUCUGCGGAGAGCAAGGCCCUCACAAAACCGCCACACAGAGCAGGGAACACGGGGAAAGAACACAGUUUGUUUUAUUUUUUCUAAUUCACUGGACACUAAUGGUCGCGAUUCUUCAUAGUCUCCAUAUUCCCUGAUUCUUCUUCACUGGUACCCUACUCCUUCUCCUAGUGCCCGCCUCUCUCCACUCCCCCCUUCCCAUCUCUCUCUCUCUCCCUCUCUGUCUCCCUCCCUCCCUCCCUCCUCCCCUUUCUUUCCCUCCCCCAACCAGCGAGAGCACCGUCGAGAAGAAAGGCUGAAAAUAACCUACUCACCCAAGCUUGUACUGGGGAGGAGGGGCAAAUGGAUGGGUAGUUUAUAAAGUUUAUUAUUAAUUUUUAAAGUAAAUAAAUGGUUGUUCACCGCCACUAA
Molecule: long non-coding RNA, 2180 nt
Organism: Herpailurus yagouaroundi (jaguarundi)
Lineage: Eukaryota; Metazoa; Chordata; Mammalia; Carnivora; Felidae
Exons: 2
Source: RefSeq, a predicted model, not a curated record